This is a non-coding RNA of Cyanistes caeruleus (blue tit), 880 nucleotides long. The record is from RefSeq and is a predicted model, not a curated record. NCBI's taxonomy places the organism in Eukaryota, Metazoa, Chordata, Aves, Passeriformes, Paridae.
CAGGAGGAGAGAGCAGCAGGUCACAGGCUGAAGUGGCCAGAUUCUAACCUUGGCUUUGGUCAGUACUACAUUGCAAAGCAUGUGAGUUACUCAUGUCUUUGUACAGAAGAAAGAAAAGAGAGAGCGAUGAACACUAGAAGCUAUUUACAUGAAAUUUAGCACUAAAUGACAGGAAAAAUGCAUAAUUUAAGAUUUAUUUAAGCUGGAUUUUUUUUUUCCUUUUAAUUUCAAAAACUAUGUAUUGUUGUUUUGGUUGGCAUCCUGACUUAACCGUGGAUAUGUUAGCAGCCCCUAAGAAGCAGCUCAUCCAUAUGCUGAAGAAGACUGUGCGCUCAGUUUCCUGCAGAGUGCUGGAUGAAGCAUGGAAGCAGGCAGGCUGUGCAGCAAACUGAGACAUUCUGUGCCUCUGGUGCUGCUGUGUAAUGUAAGAAAAUAAGAAGUUCCUUGUAUUUGAAUGGAGAUUGUGCCUGUUUGUGCAGCCCUUAUUGUAUACACUGUCAGAAGAGUUGACUCCCUAUAUCUAAAAUUCAUCCAAAUCCUCUACAAGUGACACAGGAGAUGUUGUAGACAAAAGUUAUACUUAGACCAAAAUAAAAACUAUCCAAAGAGUAAAGAAAAAUGGAACACGCAAUAGAUGUUUGUGGAAAAUUCCAGUCACUACCUGGAUCUGGAUACAAUUGGCAAAGAGGACAAAAGAACUAAUGGCAUGGAUUUAAUGGAUCAAGUUUCUCUUCUGCAGUUCAUCUCUUCAUUAAUGGCCCAUGAAAAGUGAAGACCAAGAUAUUUGGACCAAAGAGCUGCCAGAGACUAAACCAACCAUUACCUCUUGAAAGAUUGCAUCAUUGGUGCUUUAAAUUAAAGCUUUAUUGCCAUUGUAAAA